RNAcentral lists this ribosomal RNA (815 nucleotides) under Desulfurellaceae bacterium. RNAcentral describes it as "bacterial SSU rRNA". It matches the Rfam family "Bacterial small subunit ribosomal RNA", at positions 1 to 816 of the family's 1533-position model. Lineage: Bacteria; Pseudomonadati; Campylobacterota; Desulfurellia; Desulfurellales; Desulfurellaceae. The record is from RNAcentral.
UAAGUGGAGAGUUUGAUCCUGGCUCAGAGCGAACGCUGGCGGCGUGCUUAACACAUGCAAGUCGAGCGAGAAAGAGGGUUUCUGCCCUUGAGUACAGCGGCGAACGGGUGAGUAACACGUGGGUAAUCUGCCCUUGAGACGGGGAUAACCCGGGGAAACCCGGGCUAAUACCGGAUAAGACCACAGAAGGCAACUUCAGGGGUCAAAGGGAGCUUUCUUCGGGAAGCGCUCGUUCGAGGAGGAGCCCGCGUCCUAUCAGCUUGUUGGUGGGGUAAAAGCCUACCAAGGCGAAGACGGGUAGCUGGUCUGAGAGGAUAACCAGCCACACAGGGACUGAGACACGGCCCUGACUCCUACGGGAGGGGGGGAAACCCUGAUCCAGCGACGCCGCGUGGGUGAUGAAGGCUUUCGGGUCGUAAAGCCCUGUCAGGAGGAAAGAACGCUCCUAUGGCGAAUACCCAUGGGAAGUGACGGUACCUCCAAAGGAAGCACCGGCCAACUCCGUGCCAGCAGCCGCGGUAAGACGGAGGGUGCAAGCGUUGCUCGGAAUCACUGGGCGUAAAGGGUGCGUAGGCGGUCUCUUAAGUCUGGCGUGAAAGCCCAGGGCUCAGCCUUGGAAGUGCGCUAGAAACUGGGAGGCUUGAGUAUCGGAUGGGAGAGUGGAAUUCCUGGUGUAGCGGUGAAAUGCGUAGAUAUCAGGAGGAAUACCGGUGGCGAAGGCGACUCUCUGGACGAUAACUGACGCUGAGGCACGAAAGCGUGGGGAGCAAACAGGAUUAGAUACCCUGGUAGUCCACGCCGUAAACGAUGGGCAC